RNAcentral lists this ribosomal RNA (253 nucleotides) under uncultured bacterium. RNAcentral's name for it is "partial 16S ribosomal RNA". It matches the Rfam family "Bacterial small subunit ribosomal RNA", at positions 524 to 776 of the family's 1533-position model. The record is from RNAcentral.
UACGUAGGGUGCGAGCGUUGUCCGGAAUUACUGGGCGUAAAGAGCUCGUAGGUGGUUUGUCGCGUUGUUCGUGAAAUCUCACGGCUUAACUGUGAGCGUGCGGGCGAUACGGGCAGGCUAGAGUUCGGCAGGGGAGACUGGAAUUCCUGGUGUAGCGGUGAAAUGCGCAGAUAUCAGGAGGAACACCGGUGGCGAAGGCGGGUCUCUGGGCCGAUACUGACACUGAGGAGCGAAAGCGUGGGGAGCGAACAGG